RNAcentral lists this ribosomal RNA (254 nucleotides) under uncultured bacterium. Its description in RNAcentral is "partial 16S ribosomal RNA". It matches the Rfam family "Bacterial small subunit ribosomal RNA", at positions 524 to 777 of the family's 1533-position model. The record is from RNAcentral.
UACGUAGGGGGCGAGCGUUGUCCGGAUUUAUUGGGCGUAAAGAGCUCGUAGGCGGCUUGGCAAGUCGGGUGUGAAACCUCCAGCUCAACCUGGAGACGCCACUCGAUACUGCCAUGGCUAGAGUUCGGUAGGGGAGACUGGAAUUCCUGGUGUAGCGGUGAAAUGCGCAGAUAUCAGGAGGAACACCGAUGGCGAAGGCAGGUCUCUGGGCCACUAUUGACGCUGAGAAGCGAAAGCAUGGGGAGCGAACAGGA